Molecule: long non-coding RNA, 1109 nt
Filed under: Equus asinus (donkey)
Lineage: Eukaryota; Metazoa; Chordata; Mammalia; Perissodactyla; Equidae
Description: lncRNA (ENSEASG00005029892.1)
Source: RNAcentral
CUCUGGCCAAACCAUUCAACCUCUCUGGGUGUGACGGGCUCUCUCCUUGUUCUUCAGCUCCUGUGGGAUCCUAGGCAUUGGAGUGUGGCUGGGGAGGGCAUUAAGCUUCCCCAGGACAAGGAAAAGCCAGAGAGAUGAGCCAUUUCACUAUUCCCAUUUCACAGACAAGGAAACCGAGGCUCAGAGGGGCGCACUGCCUUGCUCGAGGUCACACAGCCGGGUACAGCUGGAGUUUGAACCCAGGUCUGCCUGGUUCUUCACUUUAGAACUUCUCUGUGAUCCAAAUGCCGGGCCCCUCUGCUGGUGGCGGGGUGGGGUGGGGGGCGAGGGUUUCGUGUCCACUGCGUUUCAUCGUGGGUCCCAUGGCCUUAUUUCCAUCCCUCCCUGUCUCCCGGGGUGUCGACGGUGACUGCCCAUCGCUGUGGGCCCGGCCUGUCUGGGUCUCACUCUUAGAUGCUUGGAACCAUCGAGUCUGCCCCGGUUGGGGCGAAUGAGGUGGCCCAGGAGUGAGUCCCAGAUCCUUUAUUUUCCAACCACAAUUAUUACUAAGCACCCGUUACGUGCCCGGCACUGGGGCCACGCCACCAGCAGGAUGGCUCUGAGCCCGUGUUCUAGUGGAGGCGACGGAAACACCAAUAACAGGAGGAGCUGCCAUCGGUUAAUGGACUGCUAUGUGUGCGACUGUUACACGUGCAGGCGCUUUAGCAAAACGAGUUUUUACAGCUUUACUGCGGGAUAAUCAACAGCCAAUAAGAUGCACGUAUUUGAGGCGCACAGUGUGAUCGUUUUUUGGACGAGUGUCUGCUUGGAAAGGCACCACCCAGCAAGAUAAUGAACGCGUCUGUCACCUCCAGAAGUUUCCUCAUGCCCCUGUGUCACCCUCCUUACUGCUCCUCUCUCUCCUCUACCCCUGAUCCCCAGGCAACCAUUCGUCUGCCUUCUGUCACUGUGGUUCAUUUUUAUUUUCUGGAAUUUUCUAUCACUGGAACCACACAGUGUGAGUUCUUUUUUGUCUGGCUUCUUCCACUCAGCAUAAAUAUUUUGAGAUUUACUGAUGUUAUUGUAUCACUAUUUCGCUCCUUUUUAUUGUUGAGUAGCAUUCCCUUGUA